Molecule: long non-coding RNA, 843 nt
Filed under: Dermacentor andersoni
Lineage: Eukaryota; Metazoa; Arthropoda; Arachnida; Ixodida; Ixodidae
Description: uncharacterized LOC126545175
Source: RNAcentral
UGCGGUCAGUGGAGAGCAAGUAACAAACUUGAAUUUGGGUUGAAGCAAGCGAUGUGGAUUGUGUGGGCAUUGCCAUGUUGCUAUGCGGUCCUGGUUACUGGUGGUAACAGCCAGAAUAAUUAACGGUAUACGACAUGCAUGUACAGAGGGUCUGACAUAUCGCGUAUUGCUGUAACAUGUCCCCCAAAAGCUGUAACCUCACCAACAGUUAAGACAGUUACACCCAGAACUAUAUUCUGUUAAACAAGGAUAUUGUCUCAUACCUUUCGCAGUGCUGCAAGUUACUUGUGAGAUAGAGUAUAACUUCAAAGCCCUGGGCUGAAUACUACCGUAUGGCUCAAGUGUCCUUGUGUCUUCCUCUGUCUGUAAGCGUUGUCCCUCGAACCGGCCAGUAAUGCACACAUAUUGAUUUCUUUGGCACUGCUGUGUGUUGGGUCUGCUGGUAUGCGAACUUGGAUAACAUUUUAGCUCCAGCAGACAAGGACAAAAGGGACACGUAGACACCACAAUAACUCAUUGUGGUGUGUAUGUCUCCCUUUUAUUCCAGCAUUAAAAUGUUAUCCAUGAUUUCCUUUCAUUGCAACACACUGAUUCAGUGAUUCAGACAGAAGCAUGGAUGAAUAUACAUGAACAAGUGCUUAUGUACAGAUUUUUGUGUCCAGUGACUGGUAAAAAGUUAAAGAAAAGGCAAUGUCUUUAAGUGGGACCACAAAUACUGCAAUCGAGGUGUUGUGAAUAUUUGCUGACACUGAGAAAAUCCUGAAUGCACAUCAAGAAACAAGCACGAAAAAGCCACUGUGUUUUCAUAUUUGUUUGAGCAUCUCAUCUUUCAGAAAUAAAGAA